GAUGAACGCUGGCGGCGUGCCUAAUACAUGCAAGUCGAGCGAACGGACGAGAAGCUUGCUUCUCUGAUGUUAGCGGCGGACGGGUGAGUAACACGUGGAUAACCUACCUAUAAGACUGGGAUAACUUCGGGAAACCGGAGCUAAUACCGGAUAAUAUUUUGAACCGCAUGGUUCAAAAGUGAAAGACGGUCUUGCUGUCACUUAUAGAUGGAUCCGCGCUGCAUUAGCUAGUUGGUAAGGUAACGGCUUACCAAGGCAACGAUGCAUAGCCGACCUGAGAGGGUGAUCGGCCACACUGGAACUGAGACACGGUCCAGACUCCUACGGGAGGCAGCAGUAGGGAAUCUUCCGCAAUGGGCGAAAGCCUGACGGAGCAACGCCGCGUGAGUGAUGAAGGUCUUCGGAUCGUAAAACUCUGUUAUUAGGGAAGAACAUAUGUGUAAGUAACUGUGCACAUCUUGACGGUACCUAAUCAGAAAGCCACGGCUAACUACGUGCCAGCAGCCGCGGUAAUACGUAGGUGGCAAGCGUUAUCCGGAAUUAUUGGGCGUAAAGCGCGCGUAGGCGGUUUUUUAAGUCUGAUGUGAAAGCCCACGGCUCAACCGUGGAGGGUCAUUGGAAACUGGAAAACUUGAGUGCAGAAGAGGAAAGUGGAAUUCCAUGUGUAGCGGUGAAAUGCGCAGAGAUAUGGAGGAACACCAGUGGCGAAGGCGACUUUCUGGUCUGUAACUGACGCUGAUGUGCGAAAGCGUGGGGAUCAAACAGGAUUAGAUACCCUGGUAGUCCACGCCGUAAACGAUGAGUGCUAAGUGUUAGGGGGUUUCCGCCCCUUAGUGCUGCAGCUAACGCAUUAAGCACUCCGCCUGGGGAGUACGACCGCAAGGUUGAAACUCAAAGGAAUUGACGGGGACCCGCACAAGCGGUGGAGCAUGUGGUUUAAUUCGAAGCAACGCGAAGAACCUUACCAAAUCUUGACAUCCUUUGACAACUCUAGAGAUAGAGCAUUCCCCUUCGGGGGACAAAGUGACAGGUGGUGCAUGGUUGUCGUCAGCUCGUGUCGUGAGAUGUUGGGUUAAGUCCCGCAACGAGCGCAACCCUUAAGCUUAGUUGCCAUCAUUAAGUUGGGCACUCUAAGUUGACUGCCGGUGACAAACCGGAGGAAGGUGGGGAUGACGUCAAAUCAUCAUGCCCCUUAUGAUUUGGGCUACACACGUGCUACAAUGGACAAUACAAAGGGCAGCGAAACCGCGAGGUCAAGCAAAUCCCAUAAAGUUGUUCUCAGUUCGGAUUGUAGUCUGCAACUCGACUACAUGAAGCUGGAAUCGCUAGUAAUCGUAGAUCAGCAUGCUACGGUGAAUACGUUCCCGGGUCUUGUACACACCGCCCGUCACACCACGAGAGUUUGUAACACCCGAAGCCGGUGGAGUAACCUUUUAGGAGCUAGCCGUCGAAGGUGGGACAAAUGAUUGGGGUG
RNAcentral lists this ribosomal RNA (1474 nucleotides) under Staphylococcus aureus. RNAcentral describes it as "partial 16S ribosomal RNA". It matches the Rfam family "Bacterial small subunit ribosomal RNA". Lineage: Bacteria; Bacillati; Bacillota; Bacilli; Caryophanales; Staphylococcaceae. The record is from RNAcentral.